GAUGAACGCUGGCGGCGUGCCUAAUACAUGCAAGUCGAGCGAACAGACGAGGAGCUUGCUCCUCUGACGUUAGCGGCGGACGGGUGAGUAACACAUGGAUAACCUACCUAUAAGACUGGGAUAACUUCGGGAAACCGGAGCUAAUACCGGAUAAUAUAUUGAACCGCAUGGUUCAAUAGUGAAAGACGGUUUUGCUGUCACUUAUAGAUGGAUCCGCGCCGCAUUAGCUAGUUGGUAAGGUAACGGCUUACCAAGGCAACGAUGCGUAGCCGACCUGAGAGGGGGAUCGGCCACACUGGAACUGAGACACGGUCCAGACUCCUACGGGAGGCAGCAGUAGGGAAUCUUCCGCAAUGGGCGAAAGCCUGACGGAGCAACGCCGCGUGAGUGAUGAAGGUCUUCGGAUCGUAAAACUCUGUUAUUAGGGAAGAACAAAUGUGUAAGUAACUAUGCACGUCUUGACGGUACCUAAUCAGAAAGCCACGGCUAACUACGUG
RNAcentral lists this ribosomal RNA (497 nucleotides) under uncultured bacterium. RNAcentral's name for it is "partial 16S ribosomal RNA". It matches the Rfam family "Bacterial small subunit ribosomal RNA", at positions 28 to 507 of the family's 1533-position model. The record is from RNAcentral.